GAUGAACGCUGGCGGCGUGCCUAAUACAUGCAAGUCGAGCGAACGGACGAGAAGCUUGCUUCUCUGAUGUUAGCGGCGGACGGGUGAGUAACACGUGGAUAACCUACCUAUAAGACUGGGAUAACUUCGGGAAACCGGAGCUAAUACCGGAUGAUAUUUUGAACCGCAUGGUUCAAAAGUGAAAGACGGUCUUGCUGUCACUUAUAGAUGGAUCCGCGCUGCAUUAGCUAGUUGGUAAGGUAACGGCUUACCAAGGCAACGAUGGAUAGCCGCCCUGAAAGGGUGAUCGGCCACACGGGAACUGAGACACGUUCCAGACUCCGACGGGAGGCAGCAGUAGGGAAUCUUCCGCAAUGGACGAAAGCCUGACGGAGCAACGCCGCGUGAAUGAUGAAGGUCUUCGGAUCGUAAAACUCUGUUAUUAGGGAAGAACAUAUGUGUAAGUAACUGUGCACAUCUUGACGGUACCUAAUCAGAAAGCCACGGCUAACUACGUG
RNAcentral lists this ribosomal RNA (497 nucleotides) under uncultured bacterium. RNAcentral's name for it is "partial 16S ribosomal RNA". It matches the Rfam family "Bacterial small subunit ribosomal RNA", at positions 28 to 507 of the family's 1533-position model. The record is from RNAcentral.